GAUGAACGCUAGCGGCAGGCCUAACACAUGCAAGUCGAGGGGUAGAGGAAGCUUGCUUCCUUGAGACCGGCGCACGGGUGCGUAACGCGUAUGCAAUCUACCUUUUACAGAGGGAUAGCCCAGAGAAAUUUGGAUUAAUACCUCAUAGUAUAUAUCAUUCGCCUGUUUGAUAUAUUAAAGUUCCAACGGUAAAAGAUGAGCAUGCGUCCCAUUAGUUAGUUGGUAAGGUAACGGCUUACCAAGACGAUGAUGGGUAGGGGUCCUGAGAGGGAGAUCCCCCACACUGGUACUGAAACACGGACCAGACUCCUACGGGAGGCAGCAGUGAGGAAUAUUGGUCAAUGGACGCAAGUCUGAACCAGCCAUGCCGCGUGCAGGAAGACGGUCCUAUGGAUUGUAAACUGCUUUUGUACGGGAAGAAACACUCCUACGUGUAGGAGCCUGACGGUACCGUAAGAAUAAGGAUCGGCUAACUCCGUGCCAGCCGCCGCGGUAA
Molecule: ribosomal RNA, 496 nt
Filed under: uncultured bacterium
Lineage: Bacteria
Description: partial 16S ribosomal RNA
Rfam family: Bacterial small subunit ribosomal RNA
Source: RNAcentral